GGACCCGCACAAGUAGUGGAGCAUGUGGUUUAAUUCGAAGAUACGCGCAGAACCUUACCAACACUUGACAUGUUCGUCGCGACUCUAAGAGAUUAGAGUUUUCGGUUCGGCCGGACGAAACACAGGUGCUGCAUGGCUGUCGUCAGCUCGUGUCGUGAGAUGUUGGGUUAAGUCCCGCAACGAGCGCAACCCUCACUUUUAGUUGCCAUCAUUAAGUUGGGCACUCUGAAAGAACUGCCAGUGAUAAGCUGGAGGAAGGUGGGGAUGACGUCAAGUCCUCAUGGCCCUUACGUGUUGGGCUACACACGUGCUACAAUGGUAUCUACAACAGGAAGCAAGACUGCGAAGUUAAGCAAAUCCCUAAAAGAUACCUCAGUUCGGAUUGGAGUCUGCAACUCGACUCUAUGAAGCUGGAAUC
Molecule: ribosomal RNA, 418 nt
Filed under: uncultured bacterium
Lineage: Bacteria
Description: bacterial SSU rRNA
Rfam family: Bacterial small subunit ribosomal RNA
Source: RNAcentral